GUUCUUGUAGUUGAAUAACAACGGUGGUUUUUCAAGUCAUUAGUUU
RNAcentral lists this transfer RNA (46 nucleotides) under Salvelinus elgyticus (small-mouth char). RNAcentral's name for it is "partial tRNA-Glu". The record is from RNAcentral. Lineage: Eukaryota; Metazoa; Chordata; Actinopteri; Salmoniformes; Salmonidae.